This 225-nucleotide unclassified non-coding RNA is filed under the name plant metagenome. RNAcentral's name for it is "partial contains small subunit ribosomal RNA, internal transcribed spacer 1, and 5.8S ribosomal RNA". The record is from RNAcentral.
UCUCCGUUGGUGAACCAGCGGAGGGAUCAUUACAGGACUCGCAAGACUCCUACAACCCUGUGAACUUAACUAUAAGCACGUUGCUUCGGCGGGUGUCUCGGAGGGGGUUCUCCCUCCCCGAGACGCUAAACCCGCCGGCAGCCUACUAUACUCUGUCUCUUUGCGUUUGCAUCUCGAGUACAAUCAAACAAGUUAAAACUUUCAACAACGGAUCUCUUGGUUCUG